RNAcentral lists this ribosomal RNA (482 nucleotides) under uncultured bacterium. RNAcentral describes it as "partial 16S ribosomal RNA". It matches the Rfam family "Bacterial small subunit ribosomal RNA", at positions 29 to 507 of the family's 1533-position model. The record is from RNAcentral.
ACGAACGCUGGCGGCGUGCUUAACACAUGCAAGUCGAACGCUGAAGCUCAGCUUUUGUUGGGUGGAUGAGUGGCGAACGGGUGAGUAACACGUGAGUAACCUGCCUCCUUCUUUGGGAUAACGCCCGGAAACGGGUGCUAAUACUGGAUAUUCACUGGUCUUCGCAUGGGGGUUGGUGGAAAGGGUUUUUCUGGUGGGGGAUGGGCUCGCGGCCUAUCAGCUUGUUGGUGGGGUGAUGGCCUACCAAGGCUUUGACGGGUAGCCGGCCUGAGAGGGUGACUGGUCACAUUGGGACUGAGAUACGGCCCAGACUCCUACGGGAGGCAGCAGUGGGGAAUAUUGCACAAUGGGCGCAAGCCUGAUGCAGCGACGCCGCGUGAGGGAUGGAGGCCUUCGGGUUGUGAACCUCUUUCGCUCAUGGUCAAGCCGCAACAAUGGUUGUGGUGAGGGUAGUGGGUAAAGAAGCGCCGGCUAACUACGUG